UACGUAGGGUCCGAGCGUUAUCCGGAAUCAUUGGGCGUAAAGAGCUCGUAGGCGGUUCAGCAAGUCGGCUGUGAAAGUCCGGGGCUCAACCCCGGAAUUGCAGUCGAUACUGCUGUGACUCGAGUCCGGUAGAGGAGAACGGAAUUCCCGGUGUAGCGGUGAAAUGCGCAGAUAUCAGGAGGAACACCGGUGGCGAAGGCGGGUCUCUGGGCCGAUACUGACGCUGAGGAGCGAAAGCGUGGGGAGCGAACAGG
Molecule: ribosomal RNA, 254 nt
Filed under: uncultured bacterium
Lineage: Bacteria
Description: partial 16S ribosomal RNA
Rfam family: Bacterial small subunit ribosomal RNA
Source: RNAcentral